This 300-nucleotide ribosomal RNA is filed under the name uncultured Lactobacillus sp. Its description in RNAcentral is "bacterial SSU rRNA". It matches the Rfam family "Bacterial small subunit ribosomal RNA", at positions 496 to 795 of the family's 1533-position model. The record is from RNAcentral. Lineage: Bacteria; Bacillati; Bacillota; Bacilli; Lactobacillales; Lactobacillaceae.
GGUAUGGUGGGUCCAGCAGCGGCGGAAAUACAGAUGGUGUGAGGGUCAUGCGGAUUUUCAUGGGUUAAAGCGCGCGGAGGUGGUUAAUUAAUGAAAAUGUGAAAGCCCCUAGCGUAACUUGGGAAUGGCAGUCGAGACUGGUGAGCGAGAGUAUGGGCGAGGAUGGUAGAAUUCCAGGUGUAGCGGUGAAAUGCGUAGAGAUCUUGAGGAAUACCGAGGGAGAAGGCAGCCAUCUGGCCUAAUACUGACACUGAGGUGCGAAAGCAUGGGGAGCAAACAGGAUUAGAUACCCUUGUAGUC